AUGAGCAGACGUGGAAGACACCUGAAGCCAACCAAGCAACUGAAGUUUCUAUCUAAUAAGGGCCAAGCAUUACACAGUCAAAGUUACUGGUGUCAAAAGGACGGCAGGGAUGUCAAUGACAGUAUUCUCUGAAGACACUGGGAACACUAGCAGUUUGCCUCCUUGGCUGAAAUGGUAAGGCUGCCUGUUAAAAAAUAUUUUUCUACUCAUCAGCUGGUCAUGUUUGAUAUGGAGUCAUUGAGACAUAAUAAGUA
This 254-nucleotide long non-coding RNA is filed under the name Crocodylus porosus (Australian saltwater crocodile). Its description in RNAcentral is "lncRNA (ENSCPRG00005003067.1)". Lineage: Eukaryota; Metazoa; Chordata; Crocodylia; Crocodylidae. The record is from RNAcentral.